RNAcentral lists this ribosomal RNA (687 nucleotides) under Dermestes laniarius. RNAcentral describes it as "eukaryotic LSU rRNA". It matches the Rfam family "Eukaryotic large subunit ribosomal RNA", at positions 646 to 1285 of the family's 3401-position model. Lineage: Eukaryota; Metazoa; Arthropoda; Insecta; Coleoptera; Dermestidae. The record is from RNAcentral.
GACCCGUCUUGAAACACGGACCAAGGAGUCUAGCAUGUGCGCGAGUCAUUGGGAUAUAUAGAAUACCUAGACGCGCAAUGAAAGUGAAGGCCGGCCCUAGCGCCGGUCGAGGGAGGAUGCGGACGGCCUCGGCCGCCCGCCGCACUCCCGGGGCGUCUCGCCCUCAUCGCGAGGAGAGGCGCACCCAGAGCGUACACGCUGGGACCCGAAAGAUGGUGAACUAUGCCUGGUCAGGACGAAGUCAGGGGAAACCCUGAUGGAGGUCCGUAGCGAUUCUGACGUGCAAAUCGAUCGUCGGAACUGGGUAUAGGGGCGAAAGACUAAUCGAACCAUCUAGUAGCUGGUUCCCUCCGAAGUUUCCCUCAGGAUAGCUGGCGCUCGCUUUUGCGAGUCUCAUCCGGUAAAGCGAAUGAUUAGAGGCAUUGGGGUCGAAACGGCCUCAACCUAUUCUCAAACUUUAAAUGGGUGAGAUCUCCGGCUUGCUUGAACCAAUCAAUGAAGCCGCGAGAUUUCGGAUCAGAGUGCCAAGUGGGCCAUUUUUGGUAAGCAGAACUGGCGCUGUGGGAUGAACCAAACGCAGAGUUAAAGCGCCUAAAUCGACGCUCAUGGGAUACCAUGAAAGGCGUUGGUAACUUAAGACAGCAGGACGGUGGCCAUGGAAGUCGGAAUCCGCUAAGGAGUGUGUAA